RNAcentral lists this long non-coding RNA (196 nucleotides) under Ictidomys tridecemlineatus (thirteen-lined ground squirrel). Its description in RNAcentral is "lncRNA (ENSSTOG00000033765.1)". Lineage: Eukaryota; Metazoa; Chordata; Mammalia; Rodentia; Sciuridae. The record is from RNAcentral.
UUGUGCACAUACCCUAGGCUUUCUACAGACCCAAUCUAAGAGUACAGCAGCUGACAGGGGCCUCACUUGUUUCUUCUUUAAUUGUUGACUUUUCCCACUGCAAGUGUCAUCUCAGAUGAUCCUUAAACUUACACAUUCUGAAGCUAUCACAAAGUGUUAUCAGAUAUAGCAAAUAAAAUAAAAGAUGCUCAGGUGA